UCUAUAGCUCAGUUGGUAGAGCAACGGACUCUUAAUCCGUGGGUCGUGGGUUCGAGUCCCUCUG
RNAcentral lists this transfer RNA (64 nucleotides) under bovine gut metagenome. It matches the Rfam family "tRNA", at positions 6 to 65 of the family's 71-position model. Rfam says of the family: Transfer RNA (tRNA) molecules are approximately 80 nucleotides in length. Their secondary structure includes four short double-helical elements and three loops (D, anti-codon, and T loops). The record is from RNAcentral.